CCUACGGGAGGCAGCAGUAAGGAAUAUUGGUCAAUGGACGCAAGUCUGAACCAGCCAUGCCGCGUGAAGGAUGAAGGUCCUCUGGAUUGUAAACUUCUUUUAUAGGGGACGAAAAAAGGGAAUUCUUUCUCACUUGACGGUACCCUAGGAAUAAGCACCGGCUAACUCCGUGCCAGCAGCCGCGGUAAUACGGAGGGUGCAAGCGUUAUCCGGAUUCACUGGGUUUAAAGGGUGCGUAGGUGGGCAUUUAAGUCAGUGGUGAAAUCUCCGGGCUUAACCCGGAAACUGCCAUUGAUACUAUUUGUCUUGAAUAUUGUGGAGGUAAGCGGAAUAUGUCAUGUAGCGGUGAAAUGCUUAGAUAUGACAUAGAACACCCUUUAUGCGAAGGCAGCUUACUACGCAAAUAUUGACACUGAGGCACGAAAGCGUGGGGAUCAAACAGGAUUAGAUACCCUGGUAGUCCACGCCCUAAACGAUGGAUACUCGACAUCAGCGAUACACAGUUGGUGUCUGAGNGAAGANAUAGUAUCCACCGNGGAGACGACGCGAGUAGUUAAGUUAAAGUAAGUUAGAGNGNGNGNGNGCGAGACGACGACGAGGAGAGG
Molecule: ribosomal RNA, 605 nt
Filed under: uncultured bacterium
Lineage: Bacteria
Description: bacterial SSU rRNA
Rfam family: Bacterial small subunit ribosomal RNA (bases 1-534)
Source: RNAcentral